GGAAUUUCUAUCACCAACCAUUCUGAGGUCUGUCUGUUCAGCCUGAAGUUACCAUCCUGUUGAGGAACUCAGAGUCAUCCCAUAAUGACGACAAGUGAGUGCCAGCCUCGUGCCAGACAAUGUGGGCUCUGCAGGACAUUCCUUGUCUGCUUCAGAUCAUCUCAAGCCAUUUACCCCAGCUAUUGUGUUGCAACUGGUUCUGCAGACUGAGACCAGCUUCAUGUAGGGCCUACCCAAGUGCUCUUCUCUCCUACUUCUCACCAAGGACCCCUCUGACUUAAUGAUACCAGCCACCUAUGGGAAUAGAGGCACCCCUCAAAU
Long non-coding RNA from Cervus elaphus (red deer), 321 nucleotides. RefSeq lists it as uncharacterized. The transcript has 3 exons. Lineage: Eukaryota; Metazoa; Chordata; Mammalia; Artiodactyla; Cervidae. The record is from RefSeq and is a predicted model, not a curated record.